UAUAACAAGAGAACACAUAAAGUGAAAGGUGGAAAUUCAUUUGGUGAAAACCAAAGGAUUUCCCCCACCAAAGAAAGUUAGCCCAGAAAAACAAUGAGGCAAAAAUAGAGAGUUUGGGAUUUUUAUUCAAAGGGUGGUUGCCCCUCUCUGUUUAGCCAAUGAUUUUCCUUUUUCAACUUUAAAAGAAAUCAAUAGCCCUUGAAUUAAUGGAAAUACGUACUACUGGUACAGUCAUUUCCUCAGCAUCAAUCAACAACAGCCAGAUUUCUCUUUCUCUGUCUCUAUUUCUGUGAUUUUAGUUCCUCUUUUUUGAUACAUUAACAAUUGAGGCAGUGAUGAUAUUUAAUCCGGAUUCUGGGCUAACUGGAUCGGGCAUAGAGACUAUCCGACCCGUAUCUUGGCCUGGCGAAUCACCGGACGGCCGGCGAUCCGAAGGUUUUUCCUUUGCAUGCAACCGGUGAUUUUGCAGCAAUGGCGCGGUCGCCUCUCUUUUGCCUGAUCUCUCUUUGCAGAUCUGAGCCUCGUAACUACUGUGAAAUAGAAAAAUCUAAAACUUAUUCUUCUUUGAAUUUCAACUGCUUUUUGCUCCUAAACAUGGAAUCAAGUUGUACGUCUGUGGGCAAAACGAGAAUUGUUGACGCUUUAAAUAGUUUUCUUUGACACAAAGCAGAAAGAGACAGUGAAUGAGGGUUGCGGAGAGUAGAGGGGAAGCUCAAAGGGCAGCUGCUCCUCUCUACAAUACCUAUGAUUUCAUUUUUGCCAAAAAUGCCCUUCUGUAGUAAACUAUGUCCAAACGACCACUCUACUGUAUCUCCAAAUCAUCACUCCCAAAAGGAGAAUCAAUAGUAGUAAUAAUAAUAAUAAUUUUAGCAAAAUUCUGAGGCUGUGAUGAUAAUUUUUCUUCUGUCUCUGCAAAUUGAUUAGGGCAGGAGACCAAUCGGACCCGUAUCUUGGCGAGGCGACCUGGACGGUGAUGACUUGCAACCGGUGUUUGCAGCCAUGGCGGUGUCUCCAAUCUCUUGCCCUAUCUUCAAAUAUUACGGAUCUGAGCCUCAAUUGGAAAGUUAUUUUCUUAAAUGCAGACUUAUGAGCUCUUUUACGUUAAAUUUUGAAAUUCACAGGUGAAAAACCCAUGAGAAUUUCCCCUAAAAAUGCAAAAAGGUUAGCCCAGAAAGAAAUGAGGCAAAACAGAGAGAAUUGGGAUUUUCAAUUUGAAGGGUGGUUGCCCCUCUCUGUCCCGCCAUUGAUUUUCCUCCAUUAAAAAAAAAACACAGAAAAAACAGCCCUUGUUUAUGAUACAAUCGAAAUCAGAUAACAAUUGAAUUUGUAAUUGAUUUUAAGGAUACACAGAUUAAUUUGACACAAAUACCAUUUUCUAAGUGUUUUUCACUUUUUUUUGGAAUUUUACAAUUCUUAUGUCCAAACGCCCACAAAGUGACACAUAAGGAAAUUCAUUUUGUGUGAAACCAAAGGAUUUCCGGCAAAGAAAAGUUAGCCCAGACAAGAAAGAAAAAAUGAGGCAAAAACAAAGAGCUUGGGAUUUUUAUUCAAAGGGUGGUUGCCCCUCUCUGUUUAGCCAAUGAUUUUCCUUUUUCCACUUAAAAAAAAAUUAACAGCCCUUGAAUUUCCUGGAAAUACGUACUACUAUACAGUCAUUUCUUCAGCAUCAAUCAACAACAACAACCAGAUCUCUCUUUCUCUGUCUCUGAUUCUGUGAUUUUAGUUCCUCUUUUUUGAUACAUAACAACUGAGGCAGUGAUGAUAUUUUAUCCGGAUUCUGGGCUAACUGGGUCGGGCAUAGAGACUAUCUGACCCGUAACUUGGCUUGGCAAAUCACCAGACGGUUAGCUGACGAUUUGGAGGCUUUUUCUUUGAUGCAACCGGUGAUUUUGCAGCCAUGGCGCGGUCGACUCUCUUUUGCCCGAUCUCUCUUUGCAGGUCUGAGCCUCGUAAGUACUGUGAAAUAGAAAAAUCUAAAACUUAUUCUUCUUUGAAUUUGUACUACUUUUUGCUCCUAAGCAUGGAAUCAAGUUGUACGUCAGUGGGCGAAACAAGAAUUGUUGAUGCUUUAAAUGGUUCUCUUUGACGCGAAGUAGGAAGUUAAAAGCUCAGAGACAAAAAAUGAGGGUUGCAGAAAGUAGAGGGAAGCUCAAAGGGCAGCUGCUCCUCUCUACAAUACCUAUGAUUUAAUUUUUGCCGUAAAUGCCCUUCUGCAGUAAACUAUGUCCAAACGACCACUCUACUGUAUCUCCAAAUCCUCACUCCCAAAAAGAUAAUCAGUAGUAGUAAUAAUAAUAAUAAUUGUAGCAAAAAUCUGAGGCUGUGAUGAUAAUUUUUUCUUCUGUCUCUGAGCAAAUUGAUUAGGGCAGGAGAACAAUCGGACCCGUAUCUUGGCGGGACGACCCGAACGGUGACGACUUGCAACCGGUGUUUGCAGCCAUGGCGGUGUCUCCAAUCUCUUGCCUUGCCCUGCCUUCAAUAUUACAGGUCUGAGCCUCAGUUGGAAAGGUGAAAAAGGCACGAGAAUUUCCAAUGCAAAAUGGUUAGCCAGAAAGAAAUGAGGCAAAACAGAGAGUAUUGGGAUUUUCAUUUGAAGGGUGGUUGCCCCUCUCUGUUCCGCCAAUGAUUUUCCUCCUUUUUCAAAAAAAACCAACAGCCCUUGUUUAUGACAAAAGCAGACAGCGUUUGGACAUAAGAAUUGUAAAAUUCCGGAAAAAGUAAAAAGAUUUCCCGGUGAAAUCUGUAUUUACUUUGUGUGUGUGUGUGUGUGCGCGCGCGCUUAUUUUGCUGAUGGAAGUUACAUAAAGAGGCAGCAUGAUGAUGCUUGUAUCUGGGCUAACUGAUUUGGGCAUAGAGAUGACCCAAUCCGUAUCUUGGCGUGGCAACCCGGUAUGGCAUGUGCUGUCUCUCACUUGCAACUGGUGUUUUGCAGCCAUGGCGUAGCUGACUUCUCUUUGCCUUAUCAUAACACAUUCAUGAUAAGCCUACUAUAGCAUGGACCAAGUUGUGAAUAAACACACACCAGAAGGCAAAACAAGAUUAUCGAUGCUUUAAAUGGUUCUGUUUGACUCAAAGCAGAAAACUAAAACCUCAGAGACAAAGAAUGAGGUUUGCUGAGAGUAGAGUGAAGCUCAAGGGCAGCCGCUCCUCUCUACAAUUCCUAUGAUUUCAUUUUUGCCAAAAAUGCCCUUCUGGCUUCUGCAGUAUACUCUGACCAAACGACCCCUCUACUGUAUCUCCAAAUCCUUACUCCCAAAAAGAGAAUCAAUAGUAGUAAUAAUAAUAAUAAUUGUAGCAAAAAUAUGAGGCUAUGAUGAUGAUUUUUUCUUCUGUCUCUGAGCAAAUUGAUUAGGGCAAGAAACAAUCGGACCUGUAACUUGGCGGGGCAACCCGGACGGUGACGUCUUGCAACCGGUGUUUGCAGCCAUGGCGGUGUCUCCGGUCUCUUGUCUUGUCUUCAAUAUUACAGAUCUGAGCCUCAAUUGGAAGGUUAUUUUCUUAAGUGCAAACUUAGUUAAAUUUUGAAAUUCGUAGGUGAAAAACCCUUGAGAGUUUCCCCUAAAAAUGCAAAAAGGUUUGCCCAGAAAGAAAUGAGGCAAAACAGAGAGUAUUGGGAUUUUCAUUAGAAGGGUGGUUGCCCCUCCCUAUUCCACCAUUGAUUUUCCUCCAUUUUCAAUAAAAAACCAACAGCCCUUGUAUAUGACAAAAGCAGAAGCAGACAGGAUUUAAGUGGACGUUUGGACAUAAAAAUUGUGAAAUUCCCGAAAAAAGUAAUUUUUUCCCCAGUGAAAUCUGCGUUUACUUUGUGUGUGUGUGUUGCUGAUGGAAGUUACAUAAAGAGGCAGUGAUGAUAAUGUUUCUUGUAUCUGGGCCAACCGAUUUGGGCAUAGAGAUGUUCCAACCCGUAUCUUGGCGUGGCAACCCGCUAUGGCUUGUGAUUGAGAUUUCUGUAUCUCAUUUGCAACUGGUGUUUUGCAGCCAUGGCGUAGCUGGCUUCUCUUUGCCUUAUCAUAGCUCAUCUGAGCCCCAUUUUCUGAAAAGAUAAAAAUAUAGAUACAUCUUUUCUAUGAUGUGGAUUAAUUGGAAAAUAAGAAGGGGAGCCUCGGAGCAACAGUAAAGUUGUCUUCAGCCACUAAUACUUGCAUUAGAGGAUGCUGUCUAUAUCACACCCUAUCACACCCCUGUGUGAACACGGGGUGCACAAGCACGGGAUGCCUUGUGCACCAGGCUGUCAUUGGAUUAACAGGGAAUUAGAAAAAAACUCAUUAGUUCAAUUCUGAGGUUGCGGUCUAGGCAGAGAGCUGUACGGAGUUUCAUUGGGUGGUUUUGCCCCUCUUUGUGAUUGUCUGCCGUCGAUGAUCACUCAAAUGUCCGCUUUUGGUGAAAAUACGUAUUACUCCCUCCCUUUGACGCAAUGAGGCUAUGAAGAUUUUAUUCUUAAUCAGACUUAUAAAUCUAUUGAGCUGGGAUAAAUUGUAAUUUUGGCGUGGCAGCUCAGAUGGGUCUUUGAGAUAUUGGAGAAAGAUCCAUUUUUGUGUGUGUGUUUUCCUGUUUCCUAAGACUAACUGAGGCUUGCAGCCAUGACCGUCUUUAUCCAAAGCUUUUUGGGCUUUUGUCAGAGAAAAGGAGAAGAAUGAGGCAACAGGAGAGAUUGGGAUUUUCUGUAAAAAGGGUGGUUGCCCCUCUCUGUUAUGCCUACGAUUUCUCCAUUGUAAAUCAACAGCCCUUUGAAUUAAACC
Nicotiana attenuata is the source of this 4739-nucleotide long non-coding RNA. RefSeq lists it as uncharacterized. The transcript is spliced from 2 exons. The record is from RefSeq and is a predicted model, not a curated record. NCBI's taxonomy places the organism in Eukaryota, Viridiplantae, Streptophyta, Magnoliopsida, Solanales, Solanaceae.